RNAcentral lists this long non-coding RNA (332 nucleotides) under Ananas comosus (pineapple). RNAcentral's name for it is "long non-coding RNA (ACOM_LNC035093)". Lineage: Eukaryota; Viridiplantae; Streptophyta; Magnoliopsida; Poales; Bromeliaceae. The record is from RNAcentral.
CGAGAAGUUCAUUAUUUUGGUGAUGGCAAUGAAUUUCAAUUUUUUUAUUGUUUGGAGAGUUGAGCGUUGUAAGUAUUUUGAUGUAUUUUUGAGUUUUGUCACGAAAUUGCCAAAGGGGGAGAUUGUUACGGAUUUUACGUUGGCAUAUUUUGUGAAGUUAGUCGGAGUCUUGAAUGUUUGAAGAAGAAGAGAUGAAGAUCUAAGACUCGAAGACUCAAAACAUGAAUGCACAAUGCUCGGUAAGUUUAAAUACUAUUGAUGAUGAUUUAUAAAUGUUUAAAAGUGUUUCGAAGACUUAGGAUGGUUUUUAAAUAUGAAUCUGGACGAAACUG